Molecule: ribosomal RNA, 562 nt
Filed under: Colletotrichum boninense
Lineage: Eukaryota; Fungi; Ascomycota; Sordariomycetes; Glomerellales; Glomerellaceae
Description: eukaryotic LSU rRNA
Rfam family: Eukaryotic large subunit ribosomal RNA
Source: RNAcentral
AAACCAACAGGGAUUGCCCCAGUAACGGCGAGUGAAGCGGCAACAGCUCAAAUUUGAAAUCUGGCCCCAGGCCCGAGUUGUAAUUUGCAGAGGAUGCUUUUGGCGCGGUGCCUUCCGAGUUCCCUGGAACGGGACGCCAUAGAGGGUGAGAGCCCCGUACGGUUGGACACCAAGUCUUUGUAAAGCUCCUUCGACGAGUCGAGUAGUUUGGGAAUGCUGCUCAAAAUGGGAGGUAUAUUUCUUCUAAAGCUAAAUAUUGGCCAGAGACCGAUAGCGCACAAGUAGAGUGAUCGAAAGAUGAAAAGCACUUUGAAAAGAGGGUUAAACAGCACGUGAAAUUGUUAAAAGGGAAGCGCUUAUGACCAGACUUGCGCCCGGUGAAUCACCCAGCUCUCGCGGCUGGGGCACUUUGCCGGCUCAGGCCAGCAUCAGCUCGCUGUCGGGGACAAAAGCUUCGGGAACGUAGCUCUCUUCGGGGAGUGUUAUAGCCCGUUGCACAAUACCCUUCGGCGGGCUGAGGUACGCGCUCCGCAAGGAUGCUGGCGUAAUGGUCAUCAGCGAC